Grus americana (Whooping crane) is the source of this 777-nucleotide long non-coding RNA. RefSeq lists it as uncharacterized. The record is from RefSeq and is a predicted model, not a curated record. The transcript has 3 exons. Lineage: Eukaryota; Metazoa; Chordata; Aves; Gruiformes; Gruidae.
CUGUGUUUAUAUAAGCCCAGAUCGUGGCACAUAGCAGGGCCCUACAUUCAGGCAGCAGUAGAGUUAUCUACACCAGAUGUAAAUUUGAUAUGGGUUCAGGCAAGCAGAUAUUUCAGAAGAAUUUUAAAGAAGAAUUUAUUCCACAUAUAGCUAUAUUACAAGUAUUUACCCUGCUGAAUUGAACUCCAGCCAUCUUCACAAUUUCUCUUUAAGCUAGUGCAGUAGCCCUUUAUGAACCCCAAAUGUUCCUCGCUCUUCUGUGGCAAGCACUUUGUGAAUUGUUUAUUAGCUUGGAAAACUGUUUCUGUCUCUCAGGACAGGCAUCAGUAGAAGAUAUCUGGGAUGAGUACUCUAUGAAGAAAGUACCUUUAUGCCUUAGGAACAGACGAACUAUUCUAAAUGAUCCAGCGCUACGAACCAUGUUGAACCGAAGACCAACAAAUGUUACCUUCCAUCUCUUCUAGUGACUUUAGUGUUGUCUUCAUUAUCAUCGUCUGUUCUCCCUUGCCAAUUCAGUCAGCAGUUUGCCUCCUGUGCUACAUACCAGCUGACAGAUGUAUCCUUUUCAUUUCACAUACUUUUAAAGCCUUGGGCACUGCUUUCUGGAGAUAUUUAUACAGCUCUGGGACCCAGUUGCUGGAAAAGUAGUUUGUACUGAAUAUUUGUUACAUGUUCUACAAGAUCCCACACACUCUUACUUUGCAUAGAAUAAAACAAAAAAAAAGGUGCUGAUGCUUUGUAUGUAUUUUGUAUGAAAUAUAUACAGUAGACUUUGCA